GCUUGAGGAUGGGCCCGCGACCUAUCAGCUAGUUGGUGAGGUAACGGCUCACCAAGGCAAAGACGGGUAGCUGGUCUGAGAGGACGACCAGCCACACUGGAACUGAGACACGGUCCAGACACCUACGGGUGGCAGCAGUCGAGAAUUUUUCACAAUGGGCGCAAGCCUGAUGGAGCGACGCCGCGUGGGGGAUGAAGGGCUUCGGCUCGUAAACCCCUGUCAGUUGCGAACAAACCUCUUGGCCUAACACGUCAAGAGUUGAUGGUAGUGACAGAGGAAGGGACGGCUAACUCUGUGCCAGCAGCCGCGGUAAUACAGAGGUCCCGAGCGUUGUUCGGAUUUACUGGGCGUAAAGGGUGCGUAGGCGGUUGGGUAAGUCUGAUGUGAAAUCCCCGGGCUCAACCCGGGAACGG
RNAcentral lists this ribosomal RNA (413 nucleotides) under uncultured bacterium. RNAcentral's name for it is "bacterial SSU rRNA". It matches the Rfam family "Bacterial small subunit ribosomal RNA", at positions 217 to 623 of the family's 1533-position model. The record is from RNAcentral.